AUGUACAUUCCUAUAGCAUAGCAUUAAUGCAAUGGAUCCCAUUAGAACUCCACAUAUAAGCACGCUCAGGCUAGAGUAGUAUUGGGAUGGGUGAUCGCCCGGGAAGUACUAGUGUUUUACAUG
Picea glauca (white spruce) is the source of this 123-nucleotide non-coding RNA. The record is from Rfam. NCBI's taxonomy places the organism in Eukaryota, Viridiplantae, Streptophyta, Pinopsida, Pinales, Pinaceae.